AGGAGGUCAGUGCGCUCGCUGCUUCCAGCCGAUCCCAGGUUCCGCUUUGGUCAUGAGGUCUGGAGAGCUGACCUUCCAUCCUCACUGCUUCUCCUGCCAGGAGUGUGAUGUGAAGUUAACACCAGGGAACCUGUACUGCAUGCAGGGCCAGAACCUCUACUGUCAGUCCCAUUACCAUGGCGACGGGACUGUCCUGCUGUCACAUGAUCUCCAGCCCAAAGCAAAUCUGAAAGAAGGUGAGAGCUGUGCGUGCGUGUGUGUGUGAAAGCACUGUGUGUGUGCAGGCUUCUAACGAGCUAACAAAACACUUGUGUGUGUGUGUGUGAGACCCAGCUCACAAUCUGGUGUCAGGUGAAGGAGAGGAGUCUGUCAGCAGUCCAGAGCCACGACUGGACGACAGGGCGGCUGGUGGGCGGGCCCGCAGGCGGACCAAGCGAAUUAGAACGUGUUUCCGCAGCGAGCAGCUCAGAGCGCUGGAGUCGUAUUUCGCCCAGAAGCACAACCCUGACGGUAAAGACUGGACCUGCCUCGCUCAUAAGACCGGCCUGCCCAAGAGAGUCCUGCAGGUGUGGUUUCAAAACGCUCGGGCCAAGCUGAGACGUUCCCUCACCACCGACGACUCUCAGGUCAACUCACCCUCUGGUCCCCCGAGAGGCAUAACCAUGACGACCGGCUCCCCGUCCCCAGCCCGUUCCCCUGCCGGCCAAUCACAGCCCUUCCCCACCAGCACCAUCGACCACCUGCAGCUGUCUCUACUCACCGCCCCGCUCGGCGACCCCCCGCUGAGUCCAGCCAUCAACCAGGCACAUCAGCUGCAACACCCCUCCUUCUUCCUGGACUACAAUUCCCAGAGUGCACCAGGGUGUACCUCCUCUCUGGAGGCCUACGAGGACUUUGGAGAGGCAGGAGGAGGAGCAGGAGCAGAGGGAGAAGCUGAUCCUGGUUGUUCUUUUAGACCACAUUACUGCUAGUUGAGAAUUUUCAAAAUAAGAGAAUAGUUGAAGAUUUCAGCCUCUAAUGUGAAGCAAAACAGGAAAUGUUUACUUUAGCAGAAAUGUAAUCCAGCUGUGAAGCAUCUGCAGGAGAAGAGCAGUAAACAGUGAGAACAGUGAGUGAGACGGAAAGAUUCAUCUGAAAUAGGGCUGGGGAAAAUUUUAAUGAGAAUAUUUUCAAAUAUCAAUAUCACAAUAAGGCAAAUAAAUGUAAACUCACACAAAGAUACUGGAAGUGUGUUGUGUUAUGCAUCUAAAUCACACCUUGUUCUUAAUGAUUAAUUUGACCAGCAGCACUGAAGGAUGUGAUAACAAUGCUGCCCUAAUUACUGCAUGUCACCUUGGACUCAACAUGCGAACAAGCAUUUAGAAAGUGAUUCAUAGAUUAAUCAAUAAUGAAACAAACGAUCAGCAGCAGUGCUUUUCAGUUGUUGUUUGCUCAGAGAAAAUGUUGAGUCUGUUUGAGUGUUUUUGCUACGUUAUGAGCCUCAAACUCAGUCGAUAUUUUAACAGUAGACAAAACAAUGUUUCUGUAGUUCAACAAACACACUUGUUAAAGGACCAGUUUGUAGGAUUUAGUGGCAUCUUGUGGUGAGGUUGCAGACUACACCCUCACCUUCCCCUACGGUGGCUGCGGAAAAUGCUAAAAGCAUAAAACUACUACGUAGAAGCGAAGAGCAACACCUCCUCUGUGGAGGAGGACCUGCUUCCUCUGUGGAUGUAAAGACUCAUUCUGGUGUUUAAACACUAAUGAAAGCAUAAUUGUGAAUAAUAUGUUUCACUUCUGCGAAUAGAUCCACCUCAGUCCUGCACACUGGACCUUUAACUCAGCUUAUUUACCACUUUUUUUAGCGCUUUCAAACACAUCACGUGAUCUGAGUGACUGCUGUCAUGUGACAGAAGCUCAACACUCUACAUUAAAAUGUCUGGAGUUUUUUAGCCACAUGUCACAGAGGUCCAGCGUGAACUUCCUCACUGAAUAUUUUGUUUUAACUU
Chelmon rostratus (copperband butterflyfish) is the source of this 1988-nucleotide long non-coding RNA. RefSeq lists it as uncharacterized. Lineage: Eukaryota; Metazoa; Chordata; Actinopteri; Chaetodontiformes; Chaetodontidae. The record is from RefSeq and is a predicted model, not a curated record. The transcript has 3 exons.